GCUGCUUCUUUUUGGCUUCUGGUGCCAGUGAUGGCAUAGAGAAAAUAUGGAAAUUCAUGCAGAGUGAUGACAAAUGGAUAGGUAAAGGAAAAGGACCAGAAAUCUAUCUUCUGCAGGAAAUCUUCAAUAAGCAUCUAGAUCUACAACAAUCUUUUUACAUAAGAACCAUUUAAGAGACUCCUACAAUCCACUAUAGUUUGGUCACAGCUGAAACUACUCUACUUUUCCUACCAGAUCAGGAGUUUCUUUGUGUUGCUCUGGCUAGCCUGUAACUCACUCUGUAAACCAC
Long non-coding RNA from Mastomys coucha (southern multimammate mouse), 289 nucleotides. RefSeq lists it as uncharacterized. The transcript is spliced from 4 exons. The record is from RefSeq and is a predicted model, not a curated record. NCBI's taxonomy places the organism in Eukaryota, Metazoa, Chordata, Mammalia, Rodentia, Muridae.